UACAGAGGGUGCAAGCGUUAAUCGGAAUUACUGGGCGUAAAGCGUGCGUAGUCGGUUAUCUAAGUCGGGUGUAAAAUCCCCGGGCUCAACCUGGGAAUUGCAUUCGAUACUGGAUAGCUAGAGUUCGGCAGAGGGAAGCGGAAUUUCGGGUGUAGCGGUGAAAUGCGUAGAUAUCCGAAGGAACAUCAGUGGCGAAAGCGGCUUCCUGGACCAGAACUGACGAUCAGGCACGAAAGCGUGGGGAGCAAACAGG
This 253-nucleotide ribosomal RNA is filed under the name uncultured bacterium. Its description in RNAcentral is "partial 16S ribosomal RNA". It matches the Rfam family "Bacterial small subunit ribosomal RNA", at positions 524 to 776 of the family's 1533-position model. The record is from RNAcentral.